GACGAACGCUGGCGGCGUGCUUAACACAUGCAAGUCGAACGGAAAGGCCCUGCUUUUGUGGGGUGCUCGAGUGGCGAACGGGUGAGUAACACGUGAGUAACCUGCCCUUGACUUUGGGAUAACUUCAGGAAACUGGGGCUAAUACCGGAUAGGAGCUCCUGCUGCAUGGUGGGGGUUGGAAAGUUUCGGCGGUUGGGGAUGGACUCGCGGCUUAUCAGCUUGUUGGUGGGGUAGUGGCUUACCAAGGCUUUGACGGGUAGCCGGCCUGAGAGGGUGACCGGCCACAUUGGGACUGAGAUACGGCCCAGACUCCUACGGGAGGCAGCAGUGGGGAAUAUUGCCCAAUGGGCGGAAGCCUGAUGCAGCAGCGCCGCGUGCGGGAUGACGGCCUUCGGGUUGUAAACCGCUUUCGCCUGUGACGAAGCGUGAGUGACGGUAAUGGGUAAAGAAGCACCGGCUAACUACGUG
Molecule: ribosomal RNA, 468 nt
Filed under: uncultured bacterium
Lineage: Bacteria
Description: partial 16S ribosomal RNA
Rfam family: Bacterial small subunit ribosomal RNA
Source: RNAcentral